Molecule: long non-coding RNA, 226 nt
Filed under: Marmota monax (woodchuck)
Lineage: Eukaryota; Metazoa; Chordata; Mammalia; Rodentia; Sciuridae
Source: RNAcentral
GAAAAGCCCAGGACUGGAUGGAUAUACAGCAGAGUUUUACAAGAACUUUAAAGAAGAACUAAUACCAAUACUCCACAAUCUAUUUCAGGAGAUAGAAAAAGAGGGAGAACUUCCAAAUUCAUUCUAUGAGGCCAAUAUCACCCUGAUUCCCAAACCAGAUAAAGACACCUCAAAGAAAGAAAACUACAGACCAAUAUCCCUAAUGAAUUUAGAUGCAAAAAUCCUC